CUCAGCCCUUAACAUAGACAGUAAACACACAAUACUGUCCGCCAGAGAACUACAAGUGAAAAACUAGAAACUCCAAGGACUUGGCGGUGCUCCAUACCGACCUAGAGGAGCCUGUCCUAUAAUCGAUAAUCCACGUUUCACCUUACCGCCCUUUGCAAAUCAGCCUAUAUACUGCCGUCGUCAGCUUACCUUAUGAAAGAAACAAAGUAAGCAAAACAGUUAAUAACUAAAACGUCAGGUCAAUGUGUAGCAUAUGGGACGGAAGAGAUGGGCUACACUUUCUACCAUAGAAGAUACGAACAGUACAAUGAAACCUGUACUUAAAGGUGGAUUUAGUAGUAAGACAAAAAAGAAACUUUGCCUGAAACCCGCUCUGGAGCGCGCACACACCGCC
RNAcentral lists this ribosomal RNA (394 nucleotides) under Trachylepis affinis (Senegal mabuya). RNAcentral describes it as "partial 12S ribosomal RNA". It matches the Rfam family "Bacterial small subunit ribosomal RNA", at positions 831 to 1394 of the family's 1533-position model. Lineage: Eukaryota; Metazoa; Chordata; Lepidosauria; Squamata; Scincidae. The record is from RNAcentral.